GAUGAACGCUGGCGGCGUGCUUAACACAUGCAAGUCGAACGGGAAACCUUUUAUUGAAGCUUCGGCAGAUUUAGAUUGUUUCUAGUGGCGGACGGGUGAGUAACGCGUGGGUAACCUGCCUUAUACAGGGGGAUAACAGUCAGAAAUGACUGCUAAUACCGCAUAAGCGCACAGGACCGCAUGGUCCGGUGUGAAAAACUCCGGUGGUAUAAGAUGGACCCGCGUUGGAUUAGCUAGUUGGUGAGGUAACGGCCCACCAAGGCGACGAUCCAUAGCCGGCCUGAGAGGGUGAACGGCCACAUUGGGACUGAGGCACGGCCCAGACUCCUACGGGAGGCAGCAGUGGGGAAUAUUGCACAAUGGGGGAAACCCUGAUGCAGCGACGCCGCGUGAAGGAAGAAGUAUCUCGGUAUGUAAACUUCUAUCAGCAGGGAAGAAAAUGACGGUACCUGACUAAGAAGCCCCGGCU
RNAcentral lists this ribosomal RNA (469 nucleotides) under uncultured bacterium. RNAcentral's name for it is "bacterial SSU rRNA". It matches the Rfam family "Bacterial small subunit ribosomal RNA", at positions 28 to 498 of the family's 1533-position model. The record is from RNAcentral.